GGAGGGAGGCAGAAGCUCUGGGUACAAGCAUCCCAGUCCAGUGGUGGAGACUUAAGAAAAACCCGGCACUGUGUCCUUAUGGACCUGGCUUUCCAGACAGUGCCUAGAAGGUGGAAGGACCCUGGGAGGAAGGAAAGCUCAGCCAGGACCGGGAAGAAACCAGCAUCCCUGGGGCGCGUUCCUGGAAACGUCUCUUACUGCAGCAAGAUCUCUUACUAGAAGGCGCAGGGAAGUCUCUCUCCACCUGCCAACCUGAGGCAGGAGAUGGCACCGGGAGUUUUAACAUCUGAGAAGGUUGACUUGAAGGUGGAAUUGAUGGGGAGCAGGACCUGGCCACUCCUAACAGAGGAAUGAUCACAUUAAAAA
This is a long non-coding RNA of Bos taurus (domestic cattle), 366 nucleotides long. The record is from Ensembl. NCBI's taxonomy places the organism in Eukaryota, Metazoa, Chordata, Mammalia, Artiodactyla, Bovidae.